Molecule: ribosomal RNA, 229 nt
Filed under: uncultured bacterium
Lineage: Bacteria
Description: partial 16S ribosomal RNA
Rfam family: Bacterial small subunit ribosomal RNA
Source: RNAcentral
UCCGUAGGUGGAUAAUUAAGUCAGAGGUGAAAUCCUGCAGCUCAACUGUAGAAUUGCCUUUGAUACUGGUUAUCUUGAGUCAUUAUGAAGUGGUUAGAAUGUGUAGUGUAGCGGUGAAAUGCAUAGAUAUUACACAGGAUACCGAUUGCGAAGGCAGAUCACUAAUAAUGUACUGACACUGAGGGACGAAAGCGUGGGGAGCGAACAGGAUUAGAUACCCUGGUAGUCC